Molecule: long non-coding RNA, 1795 nt
Filed under: Salvia miltiorrhiza (redroot sage)
Lineage: Eukaryota; Viridiplantae; Streptophyta; Magnoliopsida; Lamiales; Lamiaceae
Description: long non-coding RNA (SMIL_LNC004269)
Source: RNAcentral
AUGAAACCAAGACCCAAAUUCUACAUGAGACAAACAUGAUCUUCUGUUCAAUAAGAACUAAACUUAACAGAUAAAUCUUUUCCAUCAUCACUUCCUUCUUUCCACCUCCAACGCUUGCCAACCAUUCAAAGAAAUACACCUUAACCUAGAACCUGAAGCUAACAUGAGAUUUAUAUAUAUUCAUAAAAAUAUGCUUGCAUGUGUAUUUUAUAUUCGGUCCUCCGAUUGCAUUGGCUAUUGGUGCUAAAUUUGUUCCAAUGAGCAAGCAUGGUAAAUAAUUGUAUUGUGGUCAUACGAAUAUGGAAAAAUCCAAUAAUUAUAAAUCACGAUACAAAUUGACUCUUAUUGUUCUCCAAUAUCCGGUCUCUACCAUUGACACAAGAUUCUUGUGCAUACUUUUAAACCACUUAAUGAGGCACACAUUAACCAAAAGUUUAGAGGGCAUAUAAUAACCUUUCUAGAUAUUAGCCACUGCAUCUCUGUCUUAUUAUUAUGAAUUCAAUAUACAACAAACAAGUGUAUGGUCAGAGUAAAAAAAGAUUUUGAAAAUCUUUACAAUAUUCCCUUUAAAAUAAGUGAGCUAAGACUAAAUUCUCUAUUUCACAAUAAAUUCUAUACAAAAUUGUCAAUUAAUUAUCAAAUAUCUUUCGUCUUAUUAAAAAAUGUAUUGAAAUGGUUAAUGAAGACACAUACAAAGCAUAGUAUAUAAAGCAUAAACUUGCAGGAUCUAUGGCCUAAUUUUUCCAAAUAAAAUAAAUUCCUAGGAUAAAGAUAUGUUCAUGAGAUGACAUCACAUGUCAUUGCUAACCAACAACGUGAACCAUGAGAAGGAUCAGGUGUCCUAAAAAUUUUCAGAUUUCCUACCGACUCAAACCAUAAAAUGCAUAUGGGCAAUCCAAUAAAAGUAAUUAUAGAAAGACAGAUCGACUCUUACCCAUCUCGAUACCAUCAUCAUCAUCAAAAAUAUAAUUUAUGUGAAGGUUAUAUUUGUAUUAUUAUGGCUGUGUUUUUCAUACAAUUUACUCAUAUUUCUUACGCAUACCUCAAUUUAUCAUUACAAAAGGAAUGGUGCAUCAAACGUAAAAGAUUCACCCAAACUCAAGAAAAUUAAAAUCAAAUGAAAGACGCAUGCAACUCUAAAAUGGAUUAACUUAAAAUUUUCAGUUUAUCAUUACUAAAUGAAUGGUGCAGCAAACGUAAAAGAAUAAAACAAAUCAAAAACUAGAAUUCGGUAUAAUUUAGAGGGAACACAUUAAGAUGAAAAUACUAUCAUACAGUAUGAGACUCAACUAAACAUUCAUGUCUUAUUAUGAAUAUUGUGAUGCUUAUAUUGAAUAACAUUUAAGUUAGUAUAUAUUCAAGUUAAUUUAAGAUCCAUGGCAUAAUAUAAAUUAUGCAUCUAGCUCUGACUUUAACUCCAAAAAUUAGGAAGCAAAAAAGUCCAGAAAGUAUAAUAGAAUAGAUAAACUAUGAAAGUUUCAUAACAAAUGCAACAAACUUGGUUAGUAGAUUAACCUUCAAUAUAGCGAGAUCGUCCUUUGCAUGAUCAACACCAAUUAACUUAUCCUCAAAGUUCUUCCAUAGACGAGGAAAAAUUAUGAAAAAGAAAAAUAAGGGAAAUCAACAAGAAAAAAAGAAGUUGGAAUGGCUGUAAAUAGCAGUUUAGGAAGCAAAACAUUAUACAUAUGUCCUAUUGAGUAAAAAUUUAACCUUUGGGCUGUAGUUUGUACACAAAAGUUUGUACAUAUGUCCUACUGACUAAAUGAAUCACAAUUCAAUAUUAGCUAUUUCAUGA